UAACGCGUGGGUAACCUGCCUUGCACUGGGGGAUAACACUUAGAAAUAGGUGCUAAUACCGCAUAAGCGCACGGUCCUGCAUGGGACAGUGUGAAAAACUCCGGUGGUGCAAGAUGGACCCGCGUCUGAUUAGCUGGUUGGCGGGGUAAAGGCCCACCAAGGCGACGAUCAGUAGCCGGCCUGAGAGGGUGGACGGCCACAUUGGGACUGAGACACGGCCCAAACUCCUACGGGAGGCAGCAGUGGGGGAUAUUGGACAAUGGGGGGAACCCUGAUCCAGCGACGCCGCGUGAGUGAAGAAGUAUUUCGGUAUGUAAAGCUCUGUCAGCAGGGAAGAAAGCAAUGACGGUACCUGACCAAGAAGCCCCGGCUAACUACGUGCCAGCAGCCGCGGUAAUACGUAGGGGGCAAGCGUUAUCCGGAAUUACUGGGUGUAAAGGGAGCGUAGACGGCUGUGCAAGUCUGGAGUGAAAGGCGGGGGCCCAACCCCCGGACUGCUCUGGAAACUGUAUGGCUGGAGUGCAGGAGAGGUAAGCGGAAUUCCUAGUGUAGCGGUGAAAUGCGUAGAUAUUAGGAGGGACACCAGUGGCGAAGGCGGCUUACUGGACUGUAACUGACGUUGAGGCUCGAAAGCGUGUGGAGCAAACAGGAUUAGAUACCCUGGUAGUCCACGCCGUAAACGAUGAUUACUAGGUGU
RNAcentral lists this ribosomal RNA (697 nucleotides) under uncultured bacterium. Its description in RNAcentral is "bacterial SSU rRNA". It matches the Rfam family "Bacterial small subunit ribosomal RNA", at positions 111 to 823 of the family's 1533-position model. The record is from RNAcentral.